Long non-coding RNA from Apis mellifera (honey bee), 719 nucleotides. RefSeq lists it as uncharacterized. Lineage: Eukaryota; Metazoa; Arthropoda; Insecta; Hymenoptera; Apidae. The transcript has 2 exons. The record is from RefSeq and is a predicted model, not a curated record.
UUCACUGCGUUGUUAAGAGAAUUAAAAAUAUAUUUUUUUUUAAUUAAAUUAACGCCAAUAAAGCAUUUUAAUAAUUUUUCUUAAUUACAUGAAUCAAAAAUUUUGUUAUACAAAUAUUAGUAAUUAUACGCAGUGAAGUUGCCGCGAAUGAAAUUGCAACGUCAGUAAGCACACUUCUCAUUCGAGAUUGUACAAAGUCUCCUAGCGUGUCUCAUUACGUCACAAGAAUUAAAAUAACUUGCUUGAAACUAAAUGAUCAAAGUUUCAUCACAACCAUAACAUCGUAUAAAAUGAUAUCGCCAUUGAAAUGCGUGGAAACCGGUAAAUCUAAUAUGUAAUAUAUACUUGAUAGUAUGACCUUUUGAACUUGGCAUCGAUAUAUGAACAGCACGAUAUAUAUUAGAUUCAAUGAAGAAUAUAAUCGCAUUAUUCCUAUAAUGAAAACAAAUCAUAAAUCACUGAAUAAGAAGAGAAAACUGCAAUUGAAGAGUAUCAAGAAAAGGAAAAGGAAUGAGAUCCGCUGGGGAUCGAGCCUCUUGGCCGAUGACCAGUUGAACCAAUAGUAAGACGUCUCGGAACCAACGCCUACCAAUUCAACCAAUCGCAGAUUAACUUUUCCGAAGGCGCGUCAUAUGCGCGUAUCCGCUUUUUCUGAUCAUUGAGAACCAAACAUCAUUGACUUUUGAUGGAAUGACGCAUGAAUAAAUUUUAUAAUCUUA